This 241-nucleotide unclassified non-coding RNA is filed under the name Helotiales sp. RNAcentral describes it as "partial contains 5.8S ribosomal RNA, internal transcribed spacer 2, and large subunit ribosomal RNA". The record is from RNAcentral. RNAcentral also lists the same sequence under 2 other names. Lineage: Eukaryota; Fungi; Ascomycota; Leotiomycetes; Helotiales.
AACGCACAUUGCGCCCCUUGGUAUUCCGAGGGGCAUGCCCGUUCGAGCGUCAUCAACACCAUCAAGCCUGGCUUGGUAUUGGGCCUUGCCUGUAACACGGCCGGCUUUAAAAUCAGUGGCGGUGCCGCCUGGCUCUAAGCGUAGUAACUUUUCUCGCUAUUGUGCCCGGCGGUUGCUUGCCAACAACCCCUAAUUUAAUAGAUUUGACCUCGGAUCGGGUAGGGAUACCCGCUGAACUUAA